CGCGGCCUAUCAGCUUGUUGGUGAGGUAAUGGCUCACCAAGACGACGACGGGUAGCCGGCCUGAGAGGGCGACCGGCCACACUGGGACUGAGACACGGCCCAGACUCCUACGGGAGGCAGCAGUGGGGAAUAUUGCACAAUGGGGGAAACCCUGAUGCAGCGACGCAGCGUGCGGGAUGACGGCCUUCGGGUUGUAAACCGCUUUCAGCAGGGAAGAAGCGCAAGUGACGGUACCUGCAGAAGAAGUACCGGCUAACUACGUGCCAGCAGCCGCGGUAAUACGUAGGGUACGAGCGUUGUCCGGAAUUAUUGGGCGUAAAGAGCUCGUAGGUGGUUGGUCACAUCUGCUGUGGAAACGCAACGCUUAACGUUGCGCGUGCAGUGGGUACGGGCUGACUAGAGUGCAGUAGGGGAGUCUGGAAUUCCUGGUGUAGCGGUGAAAUGCGCAGAUAUCAGGAGGAACACCGGUGGCGAAGGCGGGACUCUGGGCUGUAACUGACACUGAGGAGCGAAAGCAUGGGGAGCGAACAGGAUUAGAUACCCUGGUAGUCCAUGCCGUAAACGUUGGGCACUAGGUGUGGGGGGCAUUCCACGUUCUCCGCGCCGUAGCUAACGCAUUAAGUGCCCCGCCUGGGGAGUACGG
RNAcentral lists this ribosomal RNA (643 nucleotides) under uncultured bacterium. RNAcentral's name for it is "bacterial SSU rRNA". It matches the Rfam family "Bacterial small subunit ribosomal RNA", at positions 232 to 885 of the family's 1533-position model. The record is from RNAcentral.